Molecule: long non-coding RNA, 794 nt
Filed under: Oreochromis niloticus (Nile tilapia)
Lineage: Eukaryota; Metazoa; Chordata; Actinopteri; Cichliformes; Cichlidae
Description: lncRNA (ENSONIG00000035117.1)
Source: RNAcentral
AUGUGCUGGUGUGAAUCUGCAUCAGGGAACAGGAGCAAUAUCCUUGAUGCCUCCCGUGCUGUGAGUGAGCGUCGAAAAGAUUAUAAACUACUGAGAACUUCGAUGAAUGCCCAGUCAGCAUGGUACCUCCAUGUGGGUGACACCACGGAGAUUACCUGCAGUGUGAAUCUGGACAUUUACAACAUCAGCAACAAGAUGAACCUGCAGCUGAUCUGGACUAAGAUGGGGCCUGAAGAGAACAGCACGAAGGUUGUCUCAAGCCAGCUAGCAUCUACAGGCAUUUCCUACACACUGGGUCCUGUUACCCUCGAACAUCAGGGAGUUUACACAUGUGUUGAUGAGAGUUUGCCUGUUCUUGGUAAUCUCUGGCAUAAGAUCAUCUGGUUUGACAGUCACAGCGGAGAAAUCGAAGAAUGUAGGUCACUGAACUUGUCUUCCAACCGCCUCCUGACCUGCAAAGUUGAUACGGGGUUGCCCUCCUCUCACAAGCUGUACUGGUGAGUCUGAAAAGGGGGAGAGGAGCAAUGCUCUCAACAUCACCAACAAUGCGACUCCAGUGGUCCUGGAGGCUCCAACGCUUCCUGUAUUGGAGGGUGAGGAUGUGACAUUCCGCUGUUUAUAUAGAAACCAAACCACCAAAGAAAUCACCUCCAACUUUGACGCCAGCUUCUACAAGGACUUUAGUCCCAUCUAAGCGUGACUCUGAAAGCCGUGACCAAGGCUGAUCAAGGUUUCUACAUAUGCCACCACCCGAUAGCAGGACGGACUAAUGACCUCUAGAUUACUGUUAAAAG